Molecule: ribosomal RNA, 440 nt
Filed under: uncultured bacterium
Lineage: Bacteria
Description: partial 16S ribosomal RNA
Rfam family: Bacterial small subunit ribosomal RNA
Source: RNAcentral
CCUACGGGAGGCAGCAGUAGGGAAUAUUGCUCAAUGGGGGAAACCCUGAAGCAGCAACGCCGCGUGGAGGAUGAAGGUUUUAUGAUUGUAAACUCCUUUUGUUAGAGAAGAUUAUGACGGUAUCUAACGAAUAAGCACCGGCUAACUCCGUGCCAGCAGCCGCGGGAAUACGGAGGGUGCAAGCGUUACUCGGAAUCACUGGGUGUAAAGAGUGCGUAGGCGGGGUAAUAAGUCAGGUGUGAAAUCCUGUAGCUUAACUACAGAACUGCAGUUGAAACUGGUACUCUUGAGUGUGGGAGAGGUAGGUGGAAUUCGUGGUGUAGGGGUAAAAUCCGUAGAUAUCAAGAGGAAUACUCAUUGCGAAGGCGACCUGCUGGAACAUUACUGACGCUGAUGCACGAAAGCGUGGGGAGCAAACAGGAUUAGAUACCCCGGUAGUC